RNAcentral lists this long non-coding RNA (696 nucleotides) under Gossypium raimondii (Peruvian cotton). RNAcentral describes it as "long non-coding RNA (GRAI_LNC007352)". The record is from RNAcentral. Lineage: Eukaryota; Viridiplantae; Streptophyta; Magnoliopsida; Malvales; Malvaceae.
UUUUUUAAAAGCAAUAGCAGAGAAACUCUCUGCUAGGGUUUCUUUUCCAUGCCGCCGCCGCCGCUCAAGCCAUUCCACGGCCUCCGACGAUGCUCCGACCUCCGAUCGCGACGGAGGGGGACCGAUUCGACGGUUUCAGCUAAAGGCAAGCCUUUUCCUCUCUUUUCUUUGUUGUUUUAAGUAAACUAAAACGAAAAUAAAAGAAAAAAUAAUAUAGAUAUAUACAAAAAGAAACGAUGAACCAAGUAGAAAACCUUCGAAAAAUAAAUUUUCUCUGUAUUUCUUUUCUAUUUCUCGUAUAUCUCCGUCCUCUUUUACACCAAAAAUCCCCUCUGUAUUUUUUUUUGUACAUGAAAAUAGGGCUUUUAUAGCCCGAAAUAAUAAAAAUAAAUCCUAUUUCGUUUGCUAUUAUCCCUUUUUCUUGCUGUUUUGUUUCUGUUUGUUGUGCAGGUGCGGCGCGCAAGCCAUGGCGCGCGUUGAGGAGAUUGGCUCCGAAGUUUGGGGCGGCUGGAGAGGGGAAGUCAUACUGCUUAGGGUUUGGGUUGGUUUAUUUUUUGCUGGGCUAGGAAUUGUUUUGGGCUUGUUUAUUUGGUUUUAGUGGCCCGGGCAAUUUGGGCUUUGUACAAUUAAUAUUUAUUAAUUAAAAAAUUUUACAAUUUAUAUUUUAUAUAUUUUAAUAUUAACAAGUUAUAAUAA